UAGAGGAAGUAAAAGUCGUAACAAGGUUUCCGUAGGUGAACCUGCGGAAGGAUCAUUAAUGAAUUCAAGAGAGUUGAUGCUGGCGGUCUUGUGGCUGCAUGUGCUCGCUCUCCUAAUCCAAUUUACACCUGUGCACUUAACUUUGAAGGGAGGGUAAAACCUGCCUUCGAAAUCUUUAAACUCUUAUAUAACGAAUGUUUAUCUGCCGCAAGGCAAAAUUUAAUACAACUUUUAACAACGGAUCUCUUGGCUCUCGCAUCGAUGAAGAACGCAGCGAAAUGCGAUAAGUAAUGUGAAUUGCAGAAUUCAGUGAAUCAUCGAAUCUUUGAACGCACCUUGCGCUCCCUGGUAUUCCGGGGAGCACGCCUGUUCGAGUGUCAUGAAACUCUCAAGCAAGAUAGAUUUAUUUCUAUCUCUGUUUGGAUAUGGACUCUGCCGCGUCAAUGCGGCUGGUCUUAAAUAUAUUAGCUGGUCCUAGUGAAGGUUUGGUUCUACUCAGCAUGAUAAUUAUCUGAUGUUGAGGA
This 524-nucleotide unclassified non-coding RNA is filed under the name uncultured Sistotrema. RNAcentral describes it as "sequence contains ITS1, 5.8S rRNA gene, ITS2". The stretch from base 227 to 380 matches the Rfam family "5.8S ribosomal RNA". The record is from RNAcentral. Lineage: Eukaryota; Fungi; Basidiomycota; Agaricomycetes; Corticiales; Corticiaceae.